CUUUUUUUUUUUUUUUUUUUAAUAUUUGUCCAUAAAAUAUUUUUACCUCAUAUUCCUUGUUCUAGGAUUAUUAUUUUCAGAUUGCCCUAUAUUUAAUGUAGAAUACAUAGUUUUAUCAGAUCCUAAACUUCUUUUUAUUUUCUCAUGAGUUCAAAACUAUCAUUGUAACUAUUGUAAUUAUAUAUAUGUAGAUUAUGUAGAUGUGAAUGUCUCUAUUAAUGAGUUCAAUUCAUAUAUCUUUGACUUUCUCUAUAAUUUUGUUGAUUCAUGUUAAAAAAAAAAGGAAAUUCUCAAUUUCCAUUCUUGUGGAUCAAUAAAAAAAACACUUUCAAAUAGAUUUGAUAUAUAUGUACAUUUUGUCAUGUGAUUAUAAAUAUUCUUAAACUAGACAAUGACUACAUUUCUGUGACUGUGCUAGAUCAUAUAAUUGACUAAUUAUUUUUAUGAAGCUUUUAUCAACUCACUCUGCCUGUCUGGUAAAUAGUUUGAACAUAUUUUUUCUCUCAUUUCCCAUUCUUGGAUCAAGGUGAAACUUUGCACAAUUAUUCAUUUUAUCUGACAAGACAUGAAUCAAUAAAAAAAAUUUAACCAAUUAGUUCAUUAAUUAUUGGUGAUAAAUUAUUUUUUUUUAUAUCAAUAUAAUGAAAAAAAAACUGCUACUUAAUGAGAGAUGUGUACAGGAUGUACAUAUGGAUUUAAUCCCAUUGUUAUGUUUUGAUAUGUUUCUCUCUUGAUUCCUAUUCUCGGAUCAAUUUGAAAUUUAGCAUACUUAUUCAUAGUUGAUGACAAUACAGAAUUCAAUCUAAAAAUUUAACAAUUAGUUAAUCUAUUGGUACUAAUUAAUUAAUUUUGUUUUAUAUGGAAGAAAAGUACCUCAACCCUGCUAUUUUCAGAUAAAAGGCAGUAAUUAGCUGUGCUUUUCCUUAGAUAACCUUUGUUUAAAAAUAAUCUUUUCUUUUGGUUGUUAGUCUUGAAUUUACCAUUUCGAACUUGUGUUAAAACAUUUUUUCCCCUGAAAUAGGUUAAUAAUUUGUGUAGUGUCAAUAACACAAUAUCUUUAAAUUUAAUCUGACAAACUAUUCAUGCAUGCACAUUCAAACAUUUUGCAAAAUAUUGUCUAAACAUUUGAUGUUUUUGUAAUUUCUACAUUUGUUAAUUAUUUUCAAUAAAAAAAUGAUGAUAAAAUAUUCCUAGAAAUCCAUCUA
Biomphalaria pfeifferi is the source of this 1205-nucleotide non-coding RNA. The record is from the annotation of a GenBank genome assembly. NCBI's taxonomy places the organism in Eukaryota, Metazoa, Mollusca, Gastropoda, Planorbidae.